This 433-nucleotide ribosomal RNA is filed under the name uncultured bacterium. RNAcentral describes it as "partial 16S ribosomal RNA". It matches the Rfam family "Bacterial small subunit ribosomal RNA", at positions 29 to 507 of the family's 1533-position model. The record is from RNAcentral.
AACGAACGCUGGCGGCAUGCCUAACACAUGCAAGUCGAACGAGACCUUCGGGUCUAGUGGCGCACGGGUGCGUAACGCGGGGGAAUCUGCCCUUCGGUUGGGAAUAACUGAGAGAAAUUUCAGCUAAUACCUUAUAAUGUCUUCGGACCAAAGAUUUAUCGCCGUGGGAUGAGCCCGCGUAGGAUUAGGUAGUUGGUGGGGUAAUGGCCUACCAAGCCGACGAUCCUUAGCUGGUCUGAGAGGAUGAUCAGCCACACUGGGACUGAGACACGGCCCAGACUCCUACGGGAGGCAGCAGUAGGGAAUAUUGGACGCUGGGCGAAAGCCUGAUCCAGCAAUGCCGCGUGAGUGAUGCAGGCCUUAGGGUUGUAAAGCUCUUUUACCCGGGAUGAUAAUGACGGUACCGGGAGAAUAAGCUCCGGCUAACUCCGUG